GAAAUGCGAUAAGUAAUGUGAAUUGCAGAAUUCAGUGAAUCAUCGAAUCUUUGAACGCACAUUGCGCCCGCCAGUAUUCUGGCGGGCAUGCCUGUUCGAGCGUCAUUACAACCCUCAGGCCCCCGGGCCUGGCGUUGGGGAUCGGCGGAAGCCCCCUGCGGGCACAACGCCGUCCCCCAAAUACAGUGGCGGUCCCGCCGCAGCUUCCAUUGCGUAGUAGCUAACACCUCGCAACUGGAGAGCGGCGCGGCCACGCCGUAAAACACCCAACUUCUGAAUGUUGACCUCGUAUCAGGUAGGAAUACCCGCUGAACUUAAGC
Molecule: unclassified non-coding RNA, 320 nt
Filed under: plant metagenome
Description: partial contains 5.8S ribosomal RNA, internal transcribed spacer 2, and large subunit ribosomal RNA
Rfam family: 5.8S ribosomal RNA (bases 1-105)
Source: RNAcentral